This 253-nucleotide ribosomal RNA is filed under the name uncultured bacterium. RNAcentral's name for it is "partial 16S ribosomal RNA". It matches the Rfam family "Bacterial small subunit ribosomal RNA", at positions 524 to 776 of the family's 1533-position model. The record is from RNAcentral.
UACGUAGGUGGCAAGCGUUAUCCGGAUUUACUGGGUGUAAAGGGAGCGUAGACGGCAUAGCAAGUCUGAAGUGAAAGCCCGUGGCUCAACCGCGGAACUGCUUUGGAAACUGUUAAGCUGGAGUACUGGAGAGGCAAGCGGAAUUCCUAGUGUAGCGGUGAAAUGCGUAGAUAUUAGGAGGAACACCAGUGGCGAAGGCGGCUUGCUGGACAGAGACUGACGUUGAGGCUCGAAAGCGUGGGUAGCAAACAGG